GACGAACGCUGGCGGCGUGCUUAACACAUGCAAGUCGAACGAUGAAGCCGGAGCUUGCUCCGGUGGAUUAGUGGCGAACGGGUGAGUAACACGUGAGCAACCUGCCCUUCACUCUGGGAUAACUGCGGGAAACUGUAGCUAAUACCGGAUAUUAGGAUCCGAGGCAUCUCGGAUCUUGGAAAGAAUUUCGGUGAAGGAUGGACUCGCGGCCUAUCAGCUUGUUGGUGAGGUAAUGGCUCACCAAGGCGACGACGGGUAGCCGGCCUGAGAGGGUGACCGGCCACACUGGAACUGAGACACGGUCCAGACUCCUACGGGAGGCAGCAGUGGGGAAUAUUGCACAAUGGGCGCAAGCCUGAUGCAGCAACGCCGCGUGAGGGACGAAGGCCUUCGGGUUGUAAACCUCUUUUAGCAGGGAAGAAGCGAAAGUGACGGUACCUGCAGAAAAAGCACCGGCUAACUACG
This 465-nucleotide ribosomal RNA is filed under the name uncultured Microbacteriaceae bacterium. RNAcentral's name for it is "bacterial SSU rRNA". It matches the Rfam family "Bacterial small subunit ribosomal RNA", at positions 28 to 505 of the family's 1533-position model. The record is from RNAcentral. Lineage: Bacteria; Bacillati; Actinomycetota; Actinomycetes; Micrococcales; Microbacteriaceae.